Molecule: ribosomal RNA, 253 nt
Filed under: uncultured bacterium
Lineage: Bacteria
Description: partial 16S ribosomal RNA
Rfam family: Archaeal small subunit ribosomal RNA
Source: RNAcentral
UACCAGCACCCCGAGUGGUCGGGACGAUUAUUGGGCCUAAAGCAUCCGUAGCCGGUUCUACAAGUCUUCCGUUAAAUCCACCUGCUUAACAGAUGGGCUGCGGAGGAUACUAUAGAGCUAGGAGGCGGGAGAGGCAAGCGGUACUUAGUGGGUAGGGGUAAAAUCCGUUGAUCCAUUGAAGACCACCAGUGGCGAAGGCGGCUUACCAGAACGCACUCGACGGUGAGGGAUGAAAGCUGGGGGAGCAAACCGG